GACGAACGCUGGCGGCGUGCUUAACACAUGCAAGUCGAACGGAAAGGCCCCUUCGGGGGUGCUCGAGUGGCGAACGGGUGAGUAACACGUGGGUGAUCUGCCCUGCACUUUGGGAUAAGCCUGGGAAACUGGGUCUAAUACCGGAUAGGACUACGGCCUGCAUGGGUUGUGGUGGAAAGCUUUUGCGGUGUGGGAUGGGCCCGCGGCCUAUCAGCUUGUUGGUGGGGUGAUGGCCUACCAAGGCGACGACGGGUAGCCGGCCUGAGAGGGUGUCCGGCCACACUGGGACUGAGAUACGGCCCAGACUCCUACGGGAGGCAGCAGUGGGGAAUAUUGCACAAUGGGCGCAAGCCUGAUGCAGCGACGCCGCGUGAGGGAUGACGGCCUUCGGGUUGUAAACCUCUUUCAGCAUCGACGAAGCGCAAGUGACGGUAGAUGCAGAAGAAGCACCGGCCAACUACGUGCCAGCAGCCGCGGUAAUACGUAGGGUGCGAGCGUUGUCCGGAAUUACUGGGCGUAAAGAGCUCGUAGGUGGUUUGUCGCGUUGUUCGUGAAAACUCACAGCUUAACUGUGGGCGUGCGGGCGAUACGGGCAGACUGGAGUACUGCAGGGGAGACUGGAAUUCCUGGUGUAGCGGUGGAAUGCGCAGAUAUCAGGAGGAACACCGGUGGCGAAAGGCGGGUCUCUGGGCAGUAACUGACGCUGAGGAGCGAAAGCGUGGGGAGCGAACAGGAUUAGAUACCCUGGUAGUCCACGCCGUAAACGGUGGGUACUAGGUGUGGGUUUCCUUCCUUGGGAUCCGUGCCGUAGCUAACGCAUUAAGUACCCCGCCUGGGGAGUACGGCCGCAAGGCUAAAACUCAAAGGAAUUGACGGGGGCCCGCACAAGCGGCGGAGCAUGUGGAUUAAUUCGAUGCAACGCGAAGAACCUUACCUGGGUUUGACAUGCACAGGACGCACCUAGAGAUAGGUGUUCCCUUGUGGCCUGUGUGCAGGUGGUGCAUGGCUGUCGUCAGCUCGUGUCGUGAGAUGUUGGGUUAAGUCCCGCAACGAGCGCAACCCUUGUCUCAUGUUGCCAGCGCGUUAUGGCGGGGACUCGUGAGAGACUGCCGGGGUCAACUCGGAGGAAGGUGGGGAUGACGUCAAGUCAUCAUGCCCCUUAUGUCCAGGGCUUCACACAUGCUACAAUGGCCGGUACAAAGGGCUGCGAUGCCGUGAGGUGGAGCGAAUCCUUUCAAAGCCGGUCUCAGUUCGGAUCGGGGUCUGCAACUCGACCCCGUGAAGUCGGAGUCGCUAGUAAUCGCAGAUCAGCAACGCUGCGGUGAAUACGUUCCCGGGCCUUGUACACACCGCCCG
RNAcentral lists this ribosomal RNA (1356 nucleotides) under uncultured bacterium. Its description in RNAcentral is "bacterial SSU rRNA". It matches the Rfam family "Bacterial small subunit ribosomal RNA", at positions 28 to 1396 of the family's 1533-position model. The record is from RNAcentral.